AUACGAGGGGUGCAAGCGUUAAUCGGAAUUACUGGGCGUAAAGCGUUCGUAGGCGGUUAUUUAAGCAAGAUGUGAAAGCCCAGGGCUCAACCUUGGAACUGCAUUUUGAACUGGGUAACUAGAGUAUUGUAGAGGGUGGUGGAAUUUCCAGUGUAGCGGUGAAUGCGUAGAGAUUGGAAGGAACAUCAGUGGCGAAGGCGGCCACCUGGACCAAUAUUGACGCUGAGGUACGAAAGCGUGGGUAGCAAACAGGAUUAGAUACCCUUGUAGUCC
Molecule: ribosomal RNA, 273 nt
Filed under: uncultured bacterium
Lineage: Bacteria
Description: partial 16S ribosomal RNA
Rfam family: Bacterial small subunit ribosomal RNA
Source: RNAcentral